AUUGAACGCUGGCGGCAGGCCUAACACAUGCAAGUCGAGCGGAUGAAGGGAGCUUGCUCCUGGAUUCAGCGGCGGACGGGUGAGUAAUGCAUAGGAAUCUGCCUGGUAGUGGGGGAUAACGUCCGGAAACGGGCGCUAAUACCGCAUACGUCCUGAGGGAGAAAGUGGGGGAUCUUCGGACCUCACGCUAUCAGAUGAGCCUAGGUCGGAUUAGCUAGUUGGUGGGGUAAAGGCUUACCAAGGCGACGAUCCGUAACUGGUCUGAGAGGAUGAUCAGUCACACUGGAACUGAGACACGGUCCAGACUCCUACGGGAGGCAGCAGUGGGGAAUAUUGGACAAUGGGCGAAAGCCUGAUCCAGCCAUGCCGCGUGUGUGAAGAAGGUCUUCGGAUUGUAAAGCACUUUAAGUUGGGAGGAAGGGCAGUAAGUUAAUACCUUGCUGUUUUGACGUUACCAACAGAAUAAGCACCGGCUAACUUCGUG
This 484-nucleotide ribosomal RNA is filed under the name uncultured bacterium. RNAcentral describes it as "partial 16S ribosomal RNA". It matches the Rfam family "Bacterial small subunit ribosomal RNA", at positions 30 to 507 of the family's 1533-position model. The record is from RNAcentral.